RNAcentral lists this ribosomal RNA (497 nucleotides) under uncultured bacterium. RNAcentral describes it as "partial 16S ribosomal RNA". It matches the Rfam family "Bacterial small subunit ribosomal RNA", at positions 28 to 507 of the family's 1533-position model. The record is from RNAcentral.
GAUGAACGCUGGCGGCGUGCCUAAUACAUGCAAGUCGAGCGAACGGACGAGAAGCUUGCUUCUCUGAUGUUAGCGGCGGACGGGUGAGUAACACGUGGAUAACCUACCUAUAAGACUGGGAUAACUUCGGGAAACCGGAGCUAAUACCGGAUAAUAUUUUGAACCGCAUGGUUCAAAAGUGAAAGACGGUCUUGCUGUCACUUAUAGAUGGAUCCGCGCUGCAUUAGCUAGUUGGUAAGGUAACGGCUUACCAAGGCAACGAUGCAUAGCCGACCUGAGAGGGUGAUUAGCCACACUGGAACUGAGACACGGUCCAGACUCCUACGGGAGGCAGCAGUAGGGAAUCUUCCGCAAUGGGCGAAAGCCUGACGGAGCAACGCCGCGUGAGUGAUGAAGGUCUUCGGAUCGUAAAACUCUGUUAUUAGGGAAGAACAUAUGUGUAAGUAACUGUGCACAUCUUGACGGUACCUAAUCAGAAAGCCACGGCUAACUACGUG